AAUUAGAAGAACAUAUUAUAGAGAUGAAAAUGAUGUUUAUGAGUGCUUGUGAGAUUUUCUUUGUCUAAGGGCUGAACAUCACAUCGAUUGCUCUGCGCUCCAGAACACGGUGAUGGUUUUUCGGCGAGAACGGACAAAUAAAUACACAUUUAACUCACACUGACAAGCUGAACCAACAUAUGUUAUUAUUACCGGCUCAGAUCUCAUUAAUAAUUGAUGUCUGGCCAGAACAGUGAGAAAGACCAGAGAGAAAUCACCGCUGCAUCAGCGCGUGCAUUCUCACCACGAGCUCACAAUAAAAGCAUUUUUAUAGUUUUAAGAGCUUUUUAAAAUAAAAUAUUACCGCGAAUGCACACAAUCCACCCAUUAGAACACAACAAGAGCUAAAUUCAGGUAUUUGUGAGCUGUUUGAUUGUGAAAAUUGAAAGACUAUUUGACAGCGCGAGACUGUCUAAGGGCAGAAUAACAUCGAUCUCUCGAGCUCCAGAGGACGCUGAUUCUGGCAAGAACGAACAAAUCAAGAACAAGGUUAUUUCAAAAUACAUAAUAGCUUGGCGAAUAUAAACGAAAACAGCCACGUGAAUAUAAACUGUUGAGAAAUAAAUCUGAAGUGGAUAC
This is a long non-coding RNA of Cyprinus carpio carpio, 618 nucleotides long. Lineage: Eukaryota; Metazoa; Chordata; Actinopteri; Cypriniformes; Cyprinidae. The record is from Ensembl.